RNAcentral lists this transfer RNA (77 nucleotides) under Devosia sp. RNAcentral describes it as "tRNA-Pro". It matches the Rfam family "tRNA". From Rfam's summary of the family: Transfer RNA (tRNA) molecules are approximately 80 nucleotides in length. Lineage: Bacteria; Pseudomonadati; Pseudomonadota; Alphaproteobacteria; Hyphomicrobiales; Devosiaceae. The record is from RNAcentral. RNAcentral also lists the same sequence under 5 other names.
CGGAGUAUAGCGCAGCCUGGUAGCGCACCUGCUUCGGGAGCAGGGGGUCGCAAGUUCGAAUCUUGCUACUCCGACCA